Long non-coding RNA from Equus caballus (horse), 5555 nucleotides. NCBI's taxonomy places the organism in Eukaryota, Metazoa, Chordata, Mammalia, Perissodactyla, Equidae. The record is from Ensembl.
CGGGCGCGCACGGCGGAGGGCUGGCCGGCGGCGCGGGAGGCGGGCGGCCCCGCGGGCUCGAGGGCGCGGGCCGGCGAGUUCGCGGACGUGCUGUGUCCGCUCGGGGGCGCGGGGCUGCGGCCCGGGGCGCCCACCCGCCUGCCCGCCGGAAGCCGGGUUUCCCGGGCGCGUGAGGAGGUGGGGCCGGGGCCGGCGCGGGGUCCCCGGGGCACCGGGGCUUGUCCGAGAGCUCGGACGGGCACCCCGUCCCCCGCGCGCUCCGAUGAGGUCCCCACGAGCGCCCGCGCCCCGAGUCUCGGCUGCUCCCGUUGCACGUGGGGUGAAGUUCGCCCCUCCUGUACUGGGGCUGUGGGUGGGAUGCAAUUCAGUGUCCUGGAAAACCGAACGGGAGCGUGGGCGCCUCGAGCAGCUGGGGGCGGGGGGCCUGGACCAAGGGCUUCCGGGGCCUGGGGACAGCCCCCACCCCAUGGGGUCUCCUCCCGACGCCCGGGGCGCGCCAGACCCAGGGGAUCAGGCCUCCUUGCCCCUUCAGUCCCCUGAAAAGAUUCCCUGAAGGCUGGACUCGGGGGUCCUGCUUCCUUCUCCCCCAGCGUGUCCCAGCGUCCCUGCUGCUGUUGGAGAUCCUGGAAAGGGGAACAAAACUCUUCUGCAGUCUGAGAUGGGGAAAAGAUCUGAUGGGCUUCUCUGGCACUCCUUGGAAACAUGUAAGCAGGAACUGGGACAAAGAAAUGACCCCUGCAUAUAGAAAAGAACGUGGUACCGGCUGGGUAAAGACCAUCCAGAACGUGCUUCUGUUCUCCUACUGGAAUUGGUUCCAGGGUGGUUCAGUCAGCUCAAAGCUCAGGACUUUUGUUUGAUGGUGAUGAGAAGCCAAGUUCUUCCUUUCUCAUGGUCGUGAUGGAGCACUUAAUCCCUCUUGUUGCUAGCAGCCCUCUUGUGAAUAAUAAAGGAAAAUCAGAAGGAGAACAGAGCUGACACAUGGAGACGAAUCCAGUUGAGAGAAUUGUAAGGAAAUUCAGCUGAAGCUCUGAUCAAACCAUGCCUGAAGGCUUUUGCCUUUUUAGAUUUGUGAACAAUGAAAUCACUUUUAUCAUUUAAGCCAAUUUGAGAUUUUUUUCUUAUUUUUAAUAGAAAGCUUCUCAACUGAUAUAGAAACUUACAUUCAGUUUUACUGGAAGAUUAUUCUGGGAUGAAGGAUAAAUGAAAUACCAAGUGCCCUCUGUCAUAACAGUCUUUGUUCUUUCGCUUUAGAAGACACUGGUGAUAAAGGAUUAAGAGAGGCCCUUAAUCCACAAACCCUGGGCCAAGUGAAAAGAUUCUUCCAGUCAAAGUAUGCUGAUGCUCUGGUCAUGAUUUUCUCCUUGAUCCUAAGUAUUUUCCAGAAAUGCACUGGCUUUAUACUUUAAUUUUUGAAGAGCCCUUUCUUCCUUUUAUUUUGAGACUUAGGAGGCUAGCAACUGUUGAUUUUUACUGUAUCUAGCUCUUCUGUACACAGUAGGUGCUUCAUAAAUAUAGGCUUUACCUAGAAAUGUAUAAAUGAAGAGAUUUAAAAACACAUUCCUGACUUGUAGCUUUUUAAAAGUACCUUCUUGUAAAUGGCGUAAUUGAAGACUUCUAAAAAUGUAAUUGCCAACUGCACUUGGAAAUCCACUUUGUCAAACUGUGGCUUCUAACACCUUGUCUCCAACACCAAAUCAGUUUUGAUACCAAUGUUUCCCCAGAGGUGUGGCUUUUAAUCCUCAAAUUACAACACAAGUUUUAACAGGCCAGUUUUGUCUGUCACCAGGAGUUUAGUAAUUAACAAAAUGCCCCAGCACUAAUGGUUUAUCGAAAGGCCAGGAAGCAAGUAAGAGACAUUACACAGGAAGCAGACCUGGUGUGCUCACUGAAGGAACUCAUUUAAGAGCACCCGAUUAGGUGUUUUGCUUAAUUCGGGCCCAGUCCAUGAAGUUCCAUCUAAGCCUGCCACAGAGAGGCCAAAAGCAAGCCCUGUGCAUAGAUCCUAUACGGUAACAAAAUCCAGUGACCCCCUAGAAUGUCCAUUCUAGGAUCACACACCCCCAAGUCAUUUUCACAGCCAUGGGUAUUUUGCAACAGCGUUUGCUACACAUGCUCUAAUAAGUUAGUGGUUUUCUUGGGAGUCUGAAACAGGGUGCAUAACAGCCAGUGAGUAACCUGCAAGUAACGCCCCCGGUGACAGUUUUGCUUUGUUCCGUGGGAGUGUGAAGAGCCGUGUCAGGACGAGGAUCGCUCUCCGUGAGCGCUGGGAAAGGACCGUCUGCACAUUCAAAGAGGGGAGUGUUCUCUUUAUCUAGGUGGCUGCCAAGUCUUAAAUACUAAAACAUGUAGGUGUACUUGAGUAAAGAGAAGGCACUGACAUUUCAAAGAUAACUUGAUCGAAGGAGAGGUAAAAGAGGAACUGGGUUAUUUGCCAGAGAUUUAAGUUUACCCCUGGAAAGGUAACCUUUUUGAGAAGCUCAGUGUCCUCAGAUCCUGACAGAGGGGUCUGCACACUCCUCACACCGCGUUUCUGCAAAGCAGGCCUCUGCUUGGGCCUCUGCUCUCACUUUCUCUCUUCAGGACACCCCUAAUGGAUUGCAGAUGUCCCAUUUGGUUAGAAGCACGUUUCAGAUACAUCUGCGCUUCUUGCUUUUAUGCAAAAACACCUGCAAAUCUUUAUCUUUGGUUAGAUUUACCACACAUUUGAAGCUUUGAAAUUUUGGUCCGGUGGGAAAGAGGAGCAUGUCACCACCCUCCUUCUUAAACUGGAUUCCAUAACGGACAAUAGCCUUUGGGGGAGAUGGUUUCAUUUUUCUUUAAGGAUAAUAGUCAGGAAGGCUUCACCAGCCCCAGACCUACUCAGCUGAAGGCUAAUUAAUUUCUUUAAUCCUAUAGAGUGUGUGGAAAUAUCUAUGGCGACUGUGAGUGGACAGCUAUGGGGUGUGUGUGUGUGUUUCUUCCUGAUUUUCUGAGACUUAACAAAGAAGAUCAUACCACAGCACCAGAGAGGAGAGAACAAUGAAAUGUUGGCAAACUGGUGAGGAUGUGGUUACAGGACCAGCUUCCUUGGAUGUGCCUUGAAAACAAUGUGAUAUAUUUCCAAUAAGUGAGUAAAUCCCUCUAGGCCUCAAAGAAGAUUUUAACUAUUCCCUUUAUUCGUGCAACUUUAGGAUGUCCCAUCCCAGCACCCAUGGAAUGACAAAUGCCAUUUACAUAGUUUUGAGAUAAUAAAAUAAUAAAAUCCUGAGCUGCCUCUGGGAAGCUUGAGAAGGAAAUCCACGUUCAGUGUGGUUUUGUAAGGAGGCGGGAAGCUCUGACUAGCAGAACCCUAGCUGUGUAAAUCUGAGCAAUGCAUUUAACCUAUUGGAGCCUCAGUUUUCUCAUCUGUGAAGUGGGGGAGAUGGAUUACAGUCAUUUGUUUAUUCCACAAGUGCUUUCUGUGUGCCAGGCACUGUACUGGUUGUCUGAGGACACAACAGACCCAGUCUCGUGAGCAGCCCCUCAGCAGUCCUGUCCCUUCCUGGUCACUCCCUAUCAUUCACUGCUGACAUUGGGGGUUGGCUUAGAAGUUUCCGCCCCACCUGGACCUCAUGAAUUCCUGGACUUCACUGUUAUGUGGUCUACCCAGCCAAUAAUCUAGCCCUACAAUUCUUGGACCUCUUUGGGCUUCAACUUCUCUUCCUUUCCUCACAUCUUUAUUCACAGUUCAGUCUAUUUUGAACCUGUAGAGAUCUCCAGUUUCAUGACUCCUCUCUUUCCUCUGUCGGUCCCCUCCUGGCCUCUCUUUCUUACCUAUGGAGUCAGAACCUGUUUCUCUUCUUCAGUUUACUCUCUCCAGUAACCCACAAUUCCCUGGCACCACUCUCCUUCUGCAGCACCCAAUGACCAAAUUCUACACUUGGAUCAAAACUUAUCAGCUUCCUCAGCUUCAACAUGCAGACUGAGUGUUGACGGAGAAGCAAAAUGAUGGUGGAGUUGGUGUUACCACAAAUUCCAAGUCUCUACCCCAUGUUGCAUUGGGGUAGAGACUCUGGGACUCUAUUAGUAUCUUCAGUGUCUCCCUUUCAAUUAGUUAUUUUGGGCUCAGCCUAGAAACAUUUUUAGGUCUGUAUCAUAUUAAGGGAAAAAACCCCAUCCUUAUAGGAUUAUUAUAUGGAUAGAUUCCACCUCUCGGUUCUCCCAGUAUUCACACCCUUGUGUAGUCCCCUCCCAUGUGGACUCUAGACUUGACCAUGUCAUUUGCUUUGGCUAAAAGGUCCUUAGCAGGUGUGACGCAGGUAGAGGCUUGGUAAGUGCUUGCACACUGAGCUGAUCUCUCUUGGAUUAUUCCCUUUUGGAGCCAGCCGCCAUGUCACAAGGAAGUCCAGACUGUCCUGCUGGAGAGAAUGGCCAUGUGGCAGAGGCCCUGGAGCAUGAGUGACCACUUUGUGAGAAAGGUUCUGACACCACAUGGAGAGAGAAGCCUAGUGUCCCCCCAGCAGAUGCCCCACCAGCUGAAUAUACACCCAAGAGUGACCAAAGGAGAGACCAGCAGAAGAGCUACUGUAUUAAUUGAUAGAAUCCUGAAAGAUAAUACAUCUUUAAGUUGUAAGUUUUCGAGUGGUUUCGUAUGUAGCAGCAGAUAUCCAAAACAACCCUAAAAACGAAACCGGGACCAUUCCCUUGAUCUCACAUCUCUACGCUUUCUCUUCUUCCUGUCAAAGCUUUUCAAAGUAGUCUAUGCUGCUGUCUCAGUUCCUCGAUUUCUGAUCAAAUGGGCAUUCUUCAGUUGUUGGCAUUCCCCUUCUCUGCUGUUUUAGUCUCUGUGGACCACAAUUUCCCCGAGUUCCACCACGUCGCAUGCUCCUGAUUCUCCUCGUGCCUCUCCAGAUAUGUGUCGUGUCCUUUAUGGGCUCCUCUUCCUCCACCAGUGCUUUUCAUGUUCCUCAGGUUCUGUUCUCAGCCACCUGCUUUUUUUCCUUCACAUUCUGCCUUAUUUGGUUUAGACCCUAUGAAUACAGCCUGAAAAACAGUAUGCAUAGUCCUAGGCCUGUAGAUCAUUGAGGCGCUUAAUAGUUUCUUCUAAGCAUUCUUUACAUUUAACACAUUUUAGUUGUUUUUAUGUGUCCUUUACCCAUUAGAGUCUUUGCUUCUUGAUGUCAAGGACCAUAUCUUACUAAUUUAGUAUCUCCCAGGGUUUGGCACAGUGCUUGGUGUACUGUGCUUGGUGUGCCAUCUGUGCCCAGUAAUAGGUGUUCAGUGAAUGAUGGUUGAGGGACUGAAUUGUAGAGUCAAUGUCCUUUGGAAUUCCAUUCCAUUUUAGCUUUUAAUAUCUACAUUUAUAAGGGAAAUUCACCUGUCAUUGUGUGUAUGUAAGUCAAAGAAGUUUGGAGCCCAUGGACAUGCUUAUUUUGUAAAAUCAAUUGGUGGCUUCCCAUUUUUCCCAAUGCUACAGGAAAGUUUUUCUAACUUGGAAAUUAUCUGUUCCUCUAAGAUUUGACAGCAUUCUGUAUUCACAUAUAUGUGAUAGCUGGUCAUGGGGGUAGAGGUUUUAUUUUUAUAGUAUUUUCCAUUCA